AACGAACGCUGGCGGCAUGCCUAACACAUGCAAGUCGAACGAGACCUUCGGGUCUAGUGGCGCACGGGUGCGUAACGCGUGGGAACCUUCCCUUAGGUUCGGAAUAACUCCCCGAAAGGGGUGCUAAUACCGGAUAAUGUCUUCGGACCAAAGAUUUAUCGCCUUUGGAUGGGCCCGCGUUGGAUUAGCUAGUUGGUAGGGUAAAAGCCUACCAAGGCGACGAUCCAUAGCUGGUCUGAGAGGAUGAUCAGCCACACUGGGACUGAGACACGGCCCAGACUCCUACGGGAGGCAGCAGAGGGGAAUAUUGGAAAAUGGGAGAAAGCCUGAACCAGCAAUGCCGCGUGAGUGAUGAAGGCCGUAGGGUUGUAAAGCUCUUUUACCCGGGAUGAUAAUGACAGUACCGGGAGAAUAAGCUCCGGCUAACUCCGUG
RNAcentral lists this ribosomal RNA (433 nucleotides) under uncultured bacterium. RNAcentral describes it as "partial 16S ribosomal RNA". It matches the Rfam family "Bacterial small subunit ribosomal RNA", at positions 29 to 507 of the family's 1533-position model. The record is from RNAcentral.